UACGUAGGAGGCAAGCGUUGUCCGGAGUUACUGGGCGUAAAGCGCACGCAGGCGGUCGCAUCAGUCUGGGGGGACAGUUCCCGGCCUAACCGGGAAAGUGCUCUGGAAACUGUGCGACUUGAGGGCUUCAGAGGGAUGUGGAAUUCCAGGUGGAGUGGUGAAAUGCGUAGAGAUCUGGAAGAACACCAAAGGCGAAGGCAGCAUCCUGGGAAGUUCCUGACGCUCGGGUGCGAAAGCCAGGGGAGCGAACGGG
RNAcentral lists this ribosomal RNA (253 nucleotides) under uncultured bacterium. Its description in RNAcentral is "partial 16S ribosomal RNA". It matches the Rfam family "Bacterial small subunit ribosomal RNA", at positions 524 to 776 of the family's 1533-position model. The record is from RNAcentral.